This 541-nucleotide ribosomal RNA is filed under the name uncultured bacterium. Its description in RNAcentral is "partial 16S ribosomal RNA". It matches the Rfam family "Bacterial small subunit ribosomal RNA", at positions 355 to 888 of the family's 1533-position model. The record is from RNAcentral.
UGGGGAAUUUUGGACAAUGGGCGAAAGCCUGAUCCAGCAAUGCCGCGUGUGUGAAGAAGGCCUUCGGGUUGUAAAGCACUUUUGUCCGGAAAGAAAUCCUUGGCUCUAAUACAGUCGGGGGAUGACGGUACCGGAAGAAUAAGCACCGGCUAACUACGUGCCAGCAGCCGCGGUAAUACGUAGGGUGCAAGCGUUAAUCGGAAUUACUGGGCGUAAAGCGUGCGCAGGCGGUUUGCUAAGACCGAUGUGAAAUCCCCGGGCUCAACCUGGGAACUGCAUUGGUGACUGGCAGGCUAGAGUAUGGCAGAGGGGGGUAGAAUUCCACGUGUAGCAGUGAAAUGCGUAGAGAUGUGGAGGAAUACCGAUGGCGAAGGCAGCCCCCUGGGCCAAUACUGACGCUCAUGCACGAAAGCGUGGGGAGCAAACAGGAUUCAGAUACCCUGGUAGUCCACGCCCUAAACGAUGUCAACUAGUUGUUGGGGAUUCAUUUCCUUAGUAACGUAGCUAACGCGUGAAGUUGACCGCCUGGGGAGUACGGUCG